Molecule: ribosomal RNA, 128 nt
Filed under: uncultured eukaryote
Lineage: Eukaryota
Description: partial small subunit ribosomal RNA
Rfam family: Eukaryotic small subunit ribosomal RNA
Source: RNAcentral
CCCUGCCAUUUGUACACACCGCCCGUCGCUACUACCGAUUGAAUGGUUUAGUGAGAUCUUUGGACUGCGGCCACGCAGCUGUCUGACAGCAGCGAGGCUCGCGGGAAGCUGAUCAAACUUGAUCAUUU